RNAcentral lists this ribosomal RNA (253 nucleotides) under uncultured bacterium. RNAcentral describes it as "partial 16S ribosomal RNA". It matches the Rfam family "Bacterial small subunit ribosomal RNA", at positions 524 to 776 of the family's 1533-position model. The record is from RNAcentral.
UACGUAGGUUGCGAGCGUUGUUCGGAAUCAUUGGGCGUAAAGGGUUCGUAGGGGGCCCGCCAAGUCUGGUGUGAAAUCCCGAAGCUCAACUUCGGAACUGCAUUGGAAACUGGCGGGCUUGAGCGUCGGAGAGGGGAGUGGAAUUCCUGGUGUAGCGGUGGAAUGCGUGGAUAUCAGGAAGAACACCGAGAGCGUAGGCAGCUCCCUGGACGACGGCUGACCCUGAGGAACGAAAGCGUGGGGAGCAAACAGG